This 6671-nucleotide long non-coding RNA is filed under the name Solanum tuberosum (potato). RNAcentral's name for it is "long non-coding RNA (STUB_LNC008915)". Lineage: Eukaryota; Viridiplantae; Streptophyta; Magnoliopsida; Solanales; Solanaceae. The record is from RNAcentral.
AAAAAAAUAGACCAUACUACCCCUAAACCUAGUAAAUAAAAUCACCAAAAACAGAGAAAACAGCUGCAACAACUAGAGAAAAAGGAAAAAAUAGUAGCUAAAAGAGGAAAAAGAGAUCCCCAAGUUCAAUUGGUCUCAAAAUCGGAUGUAAGUAUUCACUCACUUCUAUGCAUGUCUUCUAGUAAUUUUACCUGAGGUAUUAUGAAUUAUCAAGUGAGCUAGUUAUUUUAUUUUGUUGGUUAUGGGUUUCUCAUUUAAUCACCAAGUUGUGAUAUUUUAAAUUUUAUAAUCAAUGUAAAAUGUUUCCAUUUAUAUCACCAUGUGUUGACCUUUCAUUUCAUUUAUUCAUUUAUUUUUUCUUUACGAGACCUAAUCAAUAGCAUACAAAAAAUUAAAGAUUUGUUCAAGAUUCAUUGGAAAAACUAAAGAUAAGAGUGAUAAAGGAUACAAUUAAUUUCUUUGAUUUAGUAUUGCAAUCUCUGAGAUUUUAAGUUCUAAGCAAGAGAGCGCAUAAUUUAUCAUCUUAACCGAUGAUUUUGUCAUUCAAAAAUAUUCUCUGGCUCAUUCUAACUGGUAUCAAACUAUUCUUUUUGUCAUGUUAGAAAGAAACUUAAAUUGUUAAAGUCUUCAUUAUAAAUUUUGUUUCAAAUUCCUUAUAUUAGUGCUUUUGCUUCUUUUUUUUAAUCUCUUUUUAUGUCAGGUUUGUGAAGAAAAAGAGAGUGAGCAAUUAGUGCAGACAGUGUUCAAACAACAUAAACAAGAGUUGAUAGCUAAGAUCUAUCUCAGUGAGGAUACACAUAUAGAGUCUUCAUAUAUCGAAGAAAAAUUUGAAUUACCACUAUCAUCGUUAGGUUUGUCUUGAGCUAUUCUAUUAUAUGUAAAUAAAUUUUAAAUAUAAGUACAUUUGUCCAAGAUUAUUUUUGUCUUCAUGUUAUGAACUUCCCACAAUCCUACAUUAUUGCUACUCAAAAAACAAUUUAAUUUUCUCUUCAUAUGUUAUUCGUAGUAUCUAUAAAAAUGUUGAUUAAACUUUUUGCCCUUUCUUAAAAUACUCUACUAUAGACAAAAUUUUCAUUUACUAUUUUUCUCAAAUUAUUAUUCAGUUAUCUUUAUGAUAUUGAAUCUUAAAAUAUAUGAGAAGAACGAUCACUCCUAAUAUAUAUGGUAAAAAGAAAUAUAAACUAACAUGUAAAAAUUUAAGGAUCGCUAAAAUAAUGGUAAGAGAAAAAUAUAUGGUACGGUAUACUAAAAGAAUUAAUAAGGAUAAUUAAUGUCAAUAAAAGGACUCCUAAAAGAUAUAGUAAUCUAUAAUACAUUUGAACUCCUUUUCUACUUAAACAAUGAAUCAUAUAAUAACAUGAUAUUUGAUGAUAUGUAUGUUUCAACAACGUAGUAUUUGCUUCGCACCUAGUAUUAGCUUAGAUUUUUGUUUAAGAUCAAAAUGAAUGACAAAUUUAUGAUUGAUAUUUAAUCUAUUUGUAAUACUUAAUCAAAUUUAUACAUUACAAUUUUAAGAAUUAUUUAAUAAAAGAUUCAAGUUAGCUAAAUAUUUAUUCACAUUUAAGCUAAAUCUAAUUUCGAGUAUAGCUAGUGAUUCUCGAAGAAUAUGAUAUGUGAAAAUGUAUUAAAGAGGAGUGUGAAUGAACUAAUAUUAUUCACCUUAUUUGAAAAUUUUAAAGUUUGAGUUGGAGAUGGAGUGAGAAUUGUGUUGGGAAUAACAUGUACGUCUAAUGUUGAUUGAACUUCUUACCCUUCAUUAAUUUUUUUUUACAAUAGAUAAAAUUGUCAUUUACUAUUUUACUCAAAUAAUUGUCAUAAUUUUUAUGCUAAUAUUUAGGACAUGAAAUGUAAUUAAAGUUAUAGUUAUUAAACUUACUUAUUUGUAAUAUGUAAGAACUUCUAAUAUUUAUUACUUUAAAAUUGACUCAAAUUCUAUUUCUUAAAUAUUUUUUUAUUUGAACUAUAUUAAAAGUCCUAACAUUAAGACUUUAAAAUCAAUAGUUUUACCUGAUAUAAAUCUUAUUUGAAUUAUAGUAAACGAAUUAAAAAUAUUAAAGAAAGAGAUUCACAUAUUUUAAACUAAAAUUUUAACUUUCAUGUGAAAUGCUUAUCAUCUGGAUAGAUAUAACAUUUAUUUUAAUGUCGAUUGCUAUUAUAAAAUAAUUUUAUUAUUUUAAUAUAUAAUUUUAUUAAUUGAUGUAAGACACACGUGCAAAGCACGUCCACUAAAUUAGGUCUAAUGAAAAACCUAUAUUAAAAAAGAAGAAGUUAAGAUUAGAAAAAAGAACUAAGCAGAAGGAUUCAAUACUCUUAUACAUCUAGUGAUUUGAGAUCUAACAAUGAAAAUUGUUAGUAAAUCCAAGAAAGUUCUGAAAAUCUAACUAAAAAGCAUAUUUUUACAAUAGGGUAAUCUGUUGAAGGAAAAUUAGAAAAUAUAACUUGAAUGUAAAAAGCGUGUUUUCUAAAACUGGAGUCAAAAUGAAUAGUAUGGGUUGUAAAUCUAUAGGAAAAGUACAUAAUGUGCAAUUCAUUUAUAGACUUAACUAAAUCACAAAGUAAUAAAAAUAUUGUUGCCUAUAGAUUAUGCUACUUUCUUCUAAAAGUUUCUCAAACAUAUUUAGUCAAACCACCUUAUUUUUCCUAAUUCCUUUGUAAUAGCAAAAAAUAAGACUGUACACCAAUAAAAGACUAGAAUGAAAAUGGUAAAUUUUAAAGCGAAAUGCAUUGCAACUUUAAAAAAGGGAAUGGAAAGACUUCUCAAGAAAGCACAUAACUUUGAUUACAACGGGAACAUGUGUUGUCAUUCCUAUUUAUUCUCCUAGUGGUAAACUAUAAUUUUAUGAUUCCUCUAAUAAUUUUACUAUAAUAGAUGAUCUCCUAAACCAAAAUUUAGAGAAUGUUGUCGUUGAUCCAAUUGACGUGAAGACUUACGUGGUCAAUGAAAUUACAAUUUAAUAAUUUAAUAGAUCUAAGUCAUUGGUUUGAUAGUCACUAGGGAAAAGUUUAUCCAUCUUAUUUACUUUUGAAUUGCCAGUAAAGCUCGUUUUUUUCAAUAUGUGAAUUAUUCUAUUGGUUAAUUGUUGUCCUCUCAUUUUUAGUUGCUUGAUAAUUUUAGUCGUAUCUUUCAGUCCUCCAUGAUAUUAAACUAUGAAGCAUAAAGUCUUAUGGUGUACUUUUUUCCUUUCUACUUCAUCGGAUGACCUAAUAAAAUAAACUUUUCUCGGUUAAAGAAUUUGACUCUUUUCUAUUAAGUCAAUUCCUUUAAUAGAAAGUACUUUAUUUUAUUAGAAUGCCCUUAUAAGGGAGAAAAGGAAAAAUACACCACAAAAUAGACUAAAACUUGAAAGACAACAAUCAACCAUCCGAAAGACUAACAUAUUCAAAACAAAUAUACUUCACUAACAAUUCUAAAGUAAAUAAAACAAGAUGGAUAAAUUUUUCUCUAAUGACAAUCGAAUCAUUACCCAACUCUAUUUAAUUGCAAAUUAAUGAACCGUAUAAACCUUCACAUCAUCUCGAUCAACAACAAUGUUCUCUAAAUUUUGAUUUAGGAAUGUAUCUAUUGUAUUAAAAUUAUAAGAAGAAUCAUAAAAAUAUGAGUUACCACUAGGGGAAUAAACAAGAAUAACAACAUGUUCUCCCGUUGUAAUUGAAAGUUUAUGUGCUUCUUUGAUAAGUCUUGGCAUUCCCUUUUUGAAAGUUGCAAUGCGUUUUGCAUUAGACCCAAUUAUCUUCAUUUCAGUCUUUUGUCAGCGUAAAUGUUAUUUUCUACCAUUACAAAGACAUUAGAGGAAAUAAGGUGGUUUGACUUAAUAGAGUUAAGAAACUUUUAGAAGUAAAUUGCGUAAUUUAUAGGCGAAAAUAUUUUUAUUUCUUAGAUAACAACCUUAGUUUCAAACUCGAUUUGAUCAACAAAAGCAAUAUUUAGUUACUAUGCAUAUACUAAUCCAAAGUAUUAAAAUUUUACUUUCCGCACAUGUUUUAGAAAUAAAGUUCUGAUGAAUUACGACUGAGAGUAAUAUUCUCAUUAUAUUCUUUAUCGAUUUUGACCCAGCCUUAUUGGGUUUUAUUGUAACACCCCGCAACUAGAAAGAGCUAGAAUUAGAAAGAGUCAUUUUUGGAAAGAAUGAAAAAUCUGGAAAUUUGACAAAGUUAAGUUAAGAAUGAGUUUAUGGUCAACUUCAAACCACAAUAACUCCUAUCUCAGGAUGAUUUAGGUGUGCUACAAGGUACCGUAGGAAAUAUCUUUGAAUUUUCUUUCCAACGCCACAGAGUUUGAUCAGUUUUGAGUUCGUAUGAGUGAGAUAUGCCCAUUUGAAGUUGGGUUGUCUAGAUAAGGAAAGUCAAAACUAGAUUUUAGAAGGGUAUUAUGGUCUUUUCACUACCCAAUCAGCUUAAUUCGUGUUUGUUAAUUACUGAGGGGUCCAAACAGAAUUAGAUCAGUUUACGCUUUACCAAAUUACGCUAGGGUUUUUGGAGAAAGAACUCAAGAGGAGAAAGGAGAAGAAAAGGUCUAGAUUCGUCGUCUUCGUGAGGAAUUGAUUGCAGAUUUCACCAAGGAUUCAAUCCUACAUGGUAUGUGAGUUCAUAUAGCGUUGGGUUCGUUCAUCCACGCGCCCAACAUGUUUAUUUCAGUAUGAUUUUCAUCCUAAAAGAUAGAGACUUUGAUGUUCUUGAGUUGUAUUCUUGAAUUGCUUUCGUUCUUGAAUUUGGCGUGAGAUUGAAGAGUUCUUCAGAGUUUAAGGUCUAUUUUAGAGUUGUGUUUGAUUAGAUUCUUGUGUACAUAUGUUGGGUAUCUUAAUCUAAAGAGGAAUUGCGAAAUAUAAUCGAAUUUAGGUGAAUUGGGGUUAGAAAACAAAGAAGGAACAAGUCAGGCAAAUCUGGGUACCAGGUCCGCGUCGCGGACCUAUUCCUCAGGAUUGAAAAAAUUUUCUCCGCGUCGUGGAGUGAUCACGGACCUUUCUGCCUCAAAAAUUAUUUCGCGACCAAAUAAGUAAAAGUUGUCCGCAUCGCAGACUUGCUUACAGACAUUGAUUUCUUGAUCUUUUCUCAUGUUUAACUAUCUAAAAACACUCCUAAACAUCAUGAGAUCUUUCCUAUCACAAACCACAAUCCUUGAAUCUAUAAUUCAAUUCAAGGAAAGUUAAGAGAAGUUAAGAGACAAGUCAAGAGAAGUUCAUUGAAUUUUCCAAAAGUCCUUCACAAAUAUUUUAACUUUGUUUUAAGACAAAAGCUUUGAGUUGAGUAAAGAGUAAGAGUAAAAUUCAUUUUUUCAAAGAUUAUACGGGAACUAAGUAUUCCCAAGAGUUAAAAUGUUUUCACAUUUGAGCAAUAAAGGAAACACUGAUUUCCAAGAGAGUUUUUAAGCUAAGUUUUGACUAAUUAUCUCAAACCAAAGAAAGAGUUUUGUUUUAAAAAAUAUGAGCUGAGUAUAUUUUUGGGGAGUAGUAUUGAGCACCGAUAUGGGGACGCGGAUUCAUAAUAACUCAAGUCUCCAUAAACCAUGUAGCCAUCAUGGGUAGAAAAAAGAUCAUACUUUUUAGAUGAUUCCUAAGUGUUGUUUAGCAUAGACUAGUGGAUCCACUUAGUUAAGGCGUUUUAUAUGACGACAAAAUAUAGAACAAUUCUGGUAGCGUGGGCAAGACGUUGUAUUAUCACUUAGGCUCAUAGUGGUGGUUGUCGGUUAGAGAAACUCCCACAAUAUUAUAUUACUUUAUAUGUAAACCAAGUUGUUAUUGCAUUUCUUUAGCAAAUUGAGUUGCUACCUCUUGUUUUAAAAGCUUUGUAUAACUGCACUAUUAUUGUUGUUUACUUUGCAUUUGAGUUGAGUUAUUUCAUGAGUUGAGUAAAGCAAAGGUAAGUGCUCUUUUCAGAUUCCUUUCAAGCUUAUGUCUUGUUUAGUAUUCCUCUCGCAUACUCGUACUUUCAAUGUACUGAAGUCAUUUGGCAUGCAUCGUUUUAUGAUGCAGCCACAGGUAACUAGGAUCAUCAUCCAGCGCCUCAUUGAUCCAGUUGAGUUCAGAGUCAGUUGGUGAGCCUCCUUGCUAUCUGAAGGACUCCUUUUACUUUGUUUUUAGUAUUUAAGUUGGUAGGAUGAUCGGGGGUCCUGUCCUGACAUCCCUCUUUAUUUUAGAGGCUUCAUAGACGAGUAGUUAUAGUUCUUUAGUCUUUUCGUUUUUAGUUGAAUACGUUUAAGGCUUGAGUUGCCAUUUUGGCUAAGUUUAAUAUUUUUUUAAGAUAUUGCAUUAAUUAUCAUUUUUAGACUAUUUCUUGUGUUUAAACUUCCGCUGAGUAAGUAGGCCAGACCAAGGGUUUGCUUAGGGCCAACAAUGGUUCUCGAGUGCCAGUCCCGCCCAUAGUGUAGGCUCAGGGCGUGACAAACUUGGUAUCAGAGCACAGAGGUCAAGAGUCCUAGGGAGUCUAUGAAGUCGUGUCUAUAGAGUCCUAGUUAAUAGUGUGCAGCGCACCACAUCUAUAAUUAGGAGGCUCCAACACUUAGGAAAUUACCUUACUUCUUUCACACUCAUUUCGUUCAUUAGAGUUUGAUUUCAAAAAAGUUUCUUCUAAUUUGUGCUUGUGCGUGUCUUUCAGUUAAUUAUGCUUCCACGAAGAGCUGUCCGAGGUCGUCCUACAAGGAGGAACGUUGAGGAGCAAGGGGUACCUAAUGCACC